Molecule: microRNA, 20 nt
Filed under: Spodoptera frugiperda (fall armyworm)
Lineage: Eukaryota; Metazoa; Arthropoda; Insecta; Lepidoptera; Noctuidae
Description: sfr-miR-10496-3p
Source: miRBase by way of RNAcentral
UUGAUACUGCAGAUUGGCUC